This 832-nucleotide ribosomal RNA is filed under the name uncultured bacterium. RNAcentral describes it as "bacterial SSU rRNA". It matches the Rfam family "Bacterial small subunit ribosomal RNA", at positions 11 to 887 of the family's 1533-position model. The record is from RNAcentral.
GUUUGAUCCUGGCUCAGAGCGAACGCUGGCGGCAUGCUUAACACAUGCAAGUCGCACGAAGGUUUCGGCCUUAGUGGCGGACGGGUGAGUAACGCGUAGGAAUCUGUCCACGGGUGGGGGAUAACUUUGGGAAACUGAAGCUAAUACCGCAUGAUACCUGAGGGUCAAAGGCGCAAGUCGCCUGUGGAGGAGCCUGCGUUUGAUUAGCUGGUUGGUGGGGUAAUGGCCUACCAAGGCGAUGAUCAAUAGCUGGUUUGAGAGGAUGAUCAGCCACACUGGGACUGAGACACGGCCCAGACUCCUGCGGGAGGCAGCAGUGGGGAAUAUUGGACAAUGGGGGCAACCCUGAUCCAGCAAUGCCGCGUGUGUGAAGAAGGUUUUCGGAUUGUAAAGCACUUUCGGCGGGGACGAUGAUGACGGUACCCGCAGAAGAAGCCCCGGCUAACUUCGUGCCAGCAGCCGCGGUAAUACGAAGGGGGCUAGCGUUGCUCGGAAUGACUGGGCGUAAAGGGCGUGUAGGCGGUUUGUACAGUCAGAUGUGAAAUCCCCGGGCUUAACCUGGGAGCUGCAUUUGAUACGUGCAGACUAGAGUGUGAGAGAGGGUUGUGGAAUUCCCAGUGUAGAGGUGAAAUUCGUAGAUAUUGGGAAGAACACCGGUGGCGAAGGCGGCAACCUGGCUCAUAACUGACGCUGAGGCGCGAAAGCGUGGGGAGCAAACAGGAUUAGAUACCCUGGUAGUCCACGCUGUAAACGAUGUGUGCCAGAUGUUGGAUAACUUAGUUAUUCAGUGUCGUAGUUAACGCGUUAAGCACACCGCCUGGGGAGUACGGCC